Molecule: long non-coding RNA, 779 nt
Filed under: Sus scrofa (pig)
Lineage: Eukaryota; Metazoa; Chordata; Mammalia; Artiodactyla; Suidae
Description: lncRNA (ENSSSCG00070000156.1)
Source: RNAcentral
AUGUCUUGCCUAAUUUCAGGACGGUGGAGGCGGAAGGGAGAGGCCAGCCGGGCAUGCCCGUGGGUCCAGGCGGGGGCAAGGGCCUCUGGCUGGCCGCCCCACCCCCCACCCCGUAGUUUCCGGCGUAAAAGAGCGAUGAGGUUUAUUUCCCUUCUGACAACGCGUCGAUUCGACUUGCCUACUCCGCUGGGCACCCCGGUGCAGAUGAAAGAGGGCGAUGCAUCAAACAUUAACGAUCUCUGCCCGGGAGGGGGUGUGCGGGCUGCAGGCGCCCUGCCCGGGGAUCUGCCAGCCUCGCAGCCUCGCUGGCUGAGGACCAGACCGCGCAGGCGCAGACGCGGCCUGGAAAGCAGAGCGGGGUGGGGGGGGCAGAGGCCCCUCCGUGCACACUCACCCCCACCCACACAUGAAAGCCGGCCCCGGGAGUGCCAGAAACUGACCACAGAUCAAUAUGCCUCCCUGAUCAGCUGCCUCGUGCCAGUGAGGCCCAGAGAGGUGAAGCCAUCAGAGUCACCGCAGCGAGCCGUGCUCAGCCCGGAUGGAAUCGUGUCUUCAGACACCAACUUGCUCCUCCUGGGCCGUGGGCUCUGGGAUCCACACGGCUGCCUGGGACCCGGAGAGAUUGGCCUUGGCGGCUUUAGGAAAAUCAUGAUUUGCUGGACAGUGGCACUGCUUUAGAGUCCCGACCUCAGAUAAAGGCUGAUCAUGUCCACACAAGAGAUGCAACAAGGUGGCCCGCUGACCUUUGUUCAAGGACAUGGCCACUUGAGCGCACACGG